AGUCACUGACAUUAGAUACCCGUGUAGUCCAGGGUGUAAACGCUGCAGACUUGGCGUUGGAGGCCCUUUGGGGGCAUUCAGUGCCGGGGAGAAGUUGUUAAGUCUGCUACUUGGGAGUACGUCCGCAAGGAUGAAACUUAAAGGAAUUGGCGGGGGAGCACCGCAACGGGAGGAGCGUGCGGUUUAAUUGGAUUCAACACCGUAAACUCACCAGGGAAGACUGUUACAUGAAGGCCGAGAUGAAGACUCUGCUAGAUUUUCAG
This 263-nucleotide ribosomal RNA is filed under the name uncultured archaeon. RNAcentral describes it as "partial 16S ribosomal RNA". It matches the Rfam family "Archaeal small subunit ribosomal RNA", at positions 717 to 982 of the family's 1478-position model. The record is from RNAcentral.